Molecule: long non-coding RNA, 1134 nt
Organism: Helianthus annuus (common sunflower)
Lineage: Eukaryota; Viridiplantae; Streptophyta; Magnoliopsida; Asterales; Asteraceae
Exons: 3
Source: RefSeq, a predicted model, not a curated record
UGGGGCCCAAGCCCGCAUAAGAAACCUAAGUAUAAAAGGGCACUUAAAAACCCUAUCCCCAUUUCCUUCAAACAAACCUGCUUACACCGCACACAUGCACAGUGCUUUUCUCCUUCUCUCUUGAUUAUACACGCAUACACACAGACCAGAUGCAAAAGUGAGUUUAUUUGAGAACCAUAUCAACACCUAUAACAAUUGUAACCUACAACUACUUGCCCCUUAACACCUCCCACAAUCAAGCAGAGCCUUCAAUCUUCUAAACACCUCUCAUCCUCUCUUUCUAAUAAACCGACCAACCACCACCAUGGGCGGCAGGUGGCGUGGCGUGGCGGCGACGGGAACCACAUCAAGUCGGGCAGACACAAGAGAACGAGAGAGAGAGACAUCGGAGGGGGGGGGGUAAUGACGGACGACGGUGGAGUUCCGCCGCUGAUGUUGAUGUCGGAGAUGAUGGAGACGGCGGCAGUGGGAUUCCACGGCGGAAACGCCGCCGAUCACGGCGGUGGUUCUUUGUUUAUUUCCGACGGAACUUACGAUGAUGUUGCUUUGGAUCGGGUUCAGACCACACUAGCCAACCGGUCAGAUUUUAUUCGGGUCAACAGCGAUUUGCUCGGUUCGGUUUCGCAGUCAACUCAGUCGGCCGGUUAAUUCAGUCAAACGGGAAGCUUUCGGUUGAAGUUCGGGUUUUGGUUCGGACAUGUUUUGGUAUGGUUCAACUCGGUUGACUCGGUUAAACCGAGUCAACUCAGUCAACGACAACAGGUCAACACCCGAGUCAACUCGGGUCAACAACGGGUCAAGAUUGGUCAAUGAAAGUCAGCGGUCAGACCAAGUCGACAAGUCAGCGGAUACGGGUCCAAAGCAGUUACGGUUUGGGUCAAUAGCUAGCCAACCUCAGUUUCGGUUCGAAACGACUCGGUCAAACUGGGUCGACUCGGUCAAACCGAGUCCACUCAGUCAAACCCGGUCAACAGCAGUAAACGCGGUCAACUCAGGACCCGGAAUGCUAUAAUUGCACGUUAGCGAGUUCACGUUCUUGGAACGACAUCACGCAAUCACUUCUAGCUAGCUUUGCACAGGAAUGUCAAGGUUGCAUUUUUAAAACUAUGGAACGGUUGGAAUAGGAGAACCCAU